This 606-nucleotide long non-coding RNA is filed under the name Triticum aestivum (bread wheat). RNAcentral's name for it is "long non-coding RNA (TAES_LNC001839)". Lineage: Eukaryota; Viridiplantae; Streptophyta; Magnoliopsida; Poales; Poaceae. The record is from RNAcentral.
UGCCGAUUACUUCUUACCCCCCUUUUAAGGUCAGAAAUGGCUAUUCAUUAAGCACUGGUAACGACUGGUGGUUCUGGAGUUGGAAGCUCAAACUCAAAUGCAGGCAGUGGAAGAGCCAAUGCAGUCCACGGGUUGAAUGCUGCUUGUGCGAUUUCUCUAAAUGACGAUGGCACCAGUGGGAGGAAGAGAAGGGGUUCAUUGGCUAUUGAAGCAAGCUUCAAUCAGGAAACUCACAGCAAGCUUUGCUGCUCUGAUUGCUAGGAUGUUCUAUACUGCAGGUGGGUAAUUUACAAUGCAAAGUAUUUAGUUACCAUUUUUGCUAGGAUGCUUUUAAUAGCUUUCUAUUUCAUUUGUAGGCAUGCCUUUUUAAUCUUGGGGCGUUUGGACACUGGAGUUGGAGAACCAAUAGACUUCUAGUAUAAAAAUCAGUAAAUCACUAAUCUCUCUAUAUAUACGGUGGCGCUAAACCAAGCGAGCGCGCAAAGCUCUUAUUCUACGUGUCGGUCGCUAAUCACCGUGCCACCAAACCAGUGCAGUCUCACUCGGCUAAUUGUGUGAGAGUAAAAGGAAGUAGAAAAUAUAGUAAUUUAUUCAAUUUCGGUUACC